This 254-nucleotide ribosomal RNA is filed under the name uncultured bacterium. RNAcentral describes it as "partial 16S ribosomal RNA". It matches the Rfam family "Bacterial small subunit ribosomal RNA", at positions 524 to 776 of the family's 1533-position model. The record is from RNAcentral.
UACGUAGGUGACCAGCGUUGUCCGGAUUUACUGGGCGUAAAGAGCGCGCAGGCGGUCGUUCAAGUCGAGUGUGAAAGCCCCCGGCUCAACUGGGGAGGGUCACUCGAUACUGAUCGACUUGAAGGCAGGAGAGGGUAGUGGAAUUCCCGGUGUAGUGGUGAAAUGCGUAGAUAUCGGGAGGAACACCAGUGGCGAAGGCGACUACCUGGCCUGUUUCUUGACGCUGAGGCGCGAAAGCUAGGGGAGCAAACGGG